Molecule: long non-coding RNA, 1443 nt
Organism: Lolium perenne
Lineage: Eukaryota; Viridiplantae; Streptophyta; Magnoliopsida; Poales; Poaceae
Source: RefSeq, a predicted model, not a curated record
GCGUGGCGCGACUUGACUUUUCUAGAAGCGUAUCGUGCCUCUUUCUCUUCCUUCCUCUCUCCGUCUCCACUCCCCCGUCCUAAAUUGCGCCGCCUUCGGUGCUGGCCGAGAUGCCGCUGGGUUGAGCACCUCCACUCCUCCCUCUGCUUGCCGCCGUCGAUCUGCGCUCACGGGCGAAGCCCGGUCGACGUCGAUGGGCCCUUGCCCUUCUCUCUCUCCCCGCUCGGUGGUGAACGACGCUGGACGACUCCGUCGAGCGGCGGCGUUGCGCUGCCGUAUGGCGCGGCGGCUCAGUGGAGAGCGCUGCAGCAGCGCGGUGGUGAGCACUGGUGGUGUGCGUUGGUUCUCGGCGUAGAUGUCCCGCGGAGGUGGCACCCGUGGCUGCGGCGCCGGUCAGGAAUGUGGCUAAACGGUGGUCUUUGGCGGUUUACGGUGGAGGCCGGGGGUUGUGUGGGGAACCGGAGUCGGAGAUGGCCGUGGUCGGCGCUACCGAGGCUGGCCGGCGGCCGGCGUGGACGGCUGACUUGGUGCCCCUGUCAAGAUGUAAAGAUGCCAUUUAUGGAGAGUCAUGGGCUCCGGUGCAGGGGUCUGGUGGUGCCCCGCUGCCAAGUUUCGGCAGCGCAAGGAGCGGUAGGGAUCCGGAUCGAGCACCACGGUGGAGCGCUAGGUCCUUGCAGAGGCAGGACGAGCAACAACAGCAGCCGACCUUGGCGAGGACAAAGGGAAGAUCUCUCCCAUCCCAUAUGCCAACCAAUGUCCUCUCUCUCUCUGACAUCCCCAAAUUUUUGGAAAGGAUUGUCAACACCGGUGCAUUGUUGACUCGUGAUUUGUGCCUCAUCUCGAUGAGCCCCACCCAAUCUCCAAUUAGUGCAGGUCAAUAAAAUGGAAGGCUGCAUCGCAGCCAAUUGAAUGGACCAGUCCAGAGAUAAAAUAAAGAAAGGUUCGAUAUACAGGUUCGAGUCGUUUAUCGUUGCUGCCGCGUGGAGCAAAUACAGGGCAACAGAUCAUACAUAUAGAAUUGAAAUUACCCAACGUAGAGGUUAUCUAUUCGGUUCCUCAACCUGAAAACUUUCUUCUGUUCGCAUGUAAAGCAACGUCAGUUCACACCAUUUUCUGCAUCAACUACUUAACCUGUAGGUGCAUUGUAGCUUCUACCAUCAGACAAUGUGACAACUGAUGACUACCUAAGGCUGUUUCGGUAAUCUCCCACUGAACUGUGGUCAUCAGAAUAACAUGUAUUUUUAUCUACGAGAGGACUGUGCGAACAGCAUAUUGUUUCUUCUGAAUUCAUCACGAUUUGGUCAUCAUAUUCUUCGGUCUAGCUAUAAAAUGCCACUAACUUUUGCGACUGCUACUGAAUAUGUAAAGUGCAUGGUUACAUGUUAAUGCAGCCGAACGCUAUGCCGGUGAGCUUGGCUAUUAAGCAACUCAGAUCUAAUCUUU